RNAcentral lists this ribosomal RNA (252 nucleotides) under uncultured bacterium. RNAcentral describes it as "partial 16S ribosomal RNA". It matches the Rfam family "Bacterial small subunit ribosomal RNA", at positions 524 to 776 of the family's 1533-position model. The record is from RNAcentral.
UACGUAGGGGGCGAGCGUUAUCCGGAUUUAUUGGGCGUAAAGGGUGCGUAGGCGGUAUGUUAAGUCUAAAAUCAAAGCCCGAGGCUUAACCUCGGUUCGUUUUAGAAACUGGCAAACUAGAGUGCAGUAGAGGCAAGUGGAAUUUCUAGUGUAGCGGUUAAAUGCGUAGAUAUUAGAAGGAACACCAGUGGCGAAGGCGGCUUGCUGGGCUGUAACUGACGCUGAGGCACGAAAGCGUGGGGAGCAAACAGG